Molecule: small nucleolar RNA, 132 nt
Organism: Scatophagus argus
Lineage: Eukaryota; Metazoa; Chordata; Actinopteri; Scatophagidae
Product: small nucleolar RNA SNORA31
Exons: 1
Source: RefSeq, a predicted model, not a curated record
UUGCAUCCACUGAUAGACCUGAAGCAGGCAUCAUUGGCUUCUGGGUUUGCACAGAGAUGCUAAAAUGAGCUUCCUUGCGCUUUCUGACUGCUACAUUCUAUAGCAGCACGGAUUGAAUUGAGGAAUACAUGU